GCAUCUGGACGUUGGCGACGAAGCAAAUCUGGUGGGCCCCCUUUGUUUGUGUCAAAUAAACAUGGAUCAACGACCAAAUCUUAUUUAGAAUCAGAACAAUCAGUGGACAAAUCGAAGAUCGGAAGACGAUUCGAAGGCAAAGUUGCGGUCGUUACAGCUUCAACUCAAGGUAUAGGUUUCAGUAUCGCUCACCGGUUAGGUUUAGAAGGUGCUUUAGUCGUUAUCUCCUCUCGUCGACAUGUUGCGUGUUCUACUGGAAUUGAUGUUUCCAAAGAUCAAACUGUUAAAAGACUUCCAAAGAGUGUUGGGUAUGUGCAAUCAAGCCACAAACUUUCUCGCUUUGGUCGUGAGAAGUUGAAUCUCAAAGAUAAAUAUAGCGGUAACGACGGUGUGAAGUUUGAAGAAACCAAGUCUGAGGACACCAACGUAGCGAGUGAUUCACUGGUUGAAAAACAUGAAAGUGCUGCAAAAGAAUCUAAUGGAGUUGCUUGUAAUACAUAUAACAACAGGUGUCUGACGUAUACGUUCAGCAGGCGGCAUAAGAAGGUUUUAUCAUCUAAAUCUGAGAACUAUUCUUCUCAUGGAAACAUUAAUAUCCUUGUCCGCGAAUCGUAGUUGGUGAAGGCAUUUAGUGCUUCAAAAUGUGAUAUGCAAGCAAUGGUGUGUGAAGUUUUUGAGGUGUUG
This 684-nucleotide long non-coding RNA is filed under the name Helianthus annuus (common sunflower). RNAcentral's name for it is "hypothetical non coding rna". Lineage: Eukaryota; Viridiplantae; Streptophyta; Magnoliopsida; Asterales; Asteraceae. The record is from RNAcentral.